GCGAACGGGUAGGCCGGCCUGAGAGGGUGUCCGGCCUCACUGGGACUGAGAUAACGGCCCAGACUCCUACGGGAGGCAGCAGUCCGAGAAGCUUCGGCAAUGGACGAAAGUCUGACCGAGCGACGCCGCGUGAGCGAUGAAGGCCCCUAGUGGUCGUAAAGCUCUGUCAGGAGGGAAUAAAUGCCUGUGGUCAAUACCCGCAGGAGUUGAAGGUACCUCCAGAGGAAGCGCCGGCUAACUACGUGCCAGCAGCCGCGGUAAUACGUAGGGCGCAAACGUUGUUCGGAUUUACUGGGUUUAAAGGGUUCGUAGGCGGGCUUGUAAGUCAGAGGUGAAAGCCAACGGCUCAACCGUUGAAUUGCCUCUGAUACUGCAAGUCUUGAGUCCGUUAGGGGAUGGUGGAAUUCCUGGUGUAGCGGUGAAAUGCGUAAAUAUCAGGAAGAACACCGGUGGCGAAGGCGGCCAUCUGGGACGGUACUGACGCUGAGGAACGAAAGCAUGGGUAUCAAACGGGAUUAGAUACCCCGGUAGUCCAUGCCGUAAACGAUGGGCACUAGGUGUUGGAGGACUCUACCCCUUCAGUGCCGCAGCUAACGCAUUAAGUACCCCACCUGGGGAGUACGAUCGCAAGGUUGAAAACUCAAAUGAAUUGACGGGG
RNAcentral lists this ribosomal RNA (658 nucleotides) under uncultured Planctomycetota bacterium. Its description in RNAcentral is "bacterial SSU rRNA". It matches the Rfam family "Bacterial small subunit ribosomal RNA", at positions 275 to 918 of the family's 1533-position model. The record is from RNAcentral. Lineage: Bacteria; Pseudomonadati; Planctomycetota.